RNAcentral lists this ribosomal RNA (253 nucleotides) under uncultured bacterium. Its description in RNAcentral is "partial 16S ribosomal RNA". It matches the Rfam family "Bacterial small subunit ribosomal RNA", at positions 524 to 776 of the family's 1533-position model. The record is from RNAcentral.
UACAGAGGUGGCAAGCGUUGUUCGGAAUUACUGGGCGUAAAGGGCGCGUAGGCGGCCAUCUAAGUCAGACGUGAAAUCCCCCGGCUUAACCUGGGAACUGCGUCUGAUACUGGGAGGCUUGAGUAUGGGAGAGGGAUGUAGAAUUCCAGGUGUAGCGGUGAAAUGCGUAGAUAUCUGGAGGAAUACCGGUGGCGAAGGCGGCAUCCUGGACCAUAACUGACGCUGAGGCGCGAAAGCUAGGGGAGCAAACGGG